This 4471-nucleotide unclassified non-coding RNA is filed under the name Hevea brasiliensis (rubber tree). The record is from RNAcentral. Lineage: Eukaryota; Viridiplantae; Streptophyta; Magnoliopsida; Malpighiales; Euphorbiaceae.
AUUCAAUUUCCUUGUAAGACCCGCAUUGAAAUUUGAAGAUGAGUGUGAUAUUGCACCUUUACGAGAUGGGGAUGAUCAAGAUGAUGAGCUUCAUGAUCUGAAAGGCCAAGAAGAAGAAGAAGAAGCAGAAGCAAAAUGCUGCGUUUGAGGGCAUUCAGGCCGAGCAGUGAGAAGAUAGUGAAGAUUCAGUUGCAUCCAACGCAUCCAUGGCUUGUUACUGCCGACGCCUCUGAUCGCGUGUCUGUUUGGAAUUGGGAACACCGCCAGAUAAUAUACGAGCUAAAAGCUGGUGGUGUUGAUGAGAGGCGUUUGGUCGGAGCUAAGUUGGAGAAGCUUGCCGAGGGUGAAUUAGAUUCCAAAGGUAAACCCACAGAAGCCAUGAGGGGAGGCAGUGUUAAACAGGUUAACUUUUAUGAUGAUGAUAUACGGUUUUGGCAACUUUGGUGUAACCGAUCUGCAGCUGCUGAAGCUCCCUCUGCUGUAAAUAAUGUUACUUCAGCUUUUACUUCCCUGGCUCCAUCAACUAAAGGAAGGCACUUUCUUGUCAUUUGUUGUGAAAACAAAGCCAUUUUUUUGGACCUGGUUACAAUGCGUGGCCGUGAUGUACUCAAGCAAGAGCUUGACAACAAGUCACUUUUGUGUAUGGAAUUUCUUUGUAGAUCUACUGCUAGGGAUGGUCCUUUGGUUGCUUUUGGUGGAUCAGAUGGUGUCAUUAGAGUUCUUUCAAUGAUUACAUGGAAGCUUGUGCGUAGAUAUACCGGAGGUCAUAAAGGAUCCAUUGCUUGUUUGAUGACUUUCAUGGCAGCAUCUGGUGAGGCACUUCUUGUCUCAGGUGGUAGUGAUGGUUUGCUUGUACUUUGGAGUGCUGACCAUGGUCAAGAUUCACGAGAACUUGUGCCCAAGCUAAGCUUAAAGGCACAUGAUGGUGGGGUCGUGGCUGUUGAGCUUUCUCGAGUGAUAGGAGGUGCUCCACAACUUAUUACCAUUGGUGCAGAUAAGACAUUAGCUAUAUGGGACACAAUUUCUUUCAAGGAGUUGCGGCGUAUUAAGCCUGUUCCAAAACUGGCUUGUCACAGUGUGGCCUCUUGGUGCCAUCCUCGAGCUCCGAACCUUGAUAUAUUAACUUGUGUCAAGGAUUCUCAUAUAUGGGCUAUUGAACACCCCACCUAUUCAGCUCUCACAAGACCAUUAUGUGAGCUUUCUUCACUCAUCCCUCCUCAAGUUCUUGCACCAAACAAGAAACUUAGAGUUUAUUGUAUGGUUGCACAUCCUUUGCAGCCUCACCUUGUUGCUACUGGAACCAAUAUUGGUGUUAUUAUUAGUGAGUUUGAUGCCAUGUCUCUCCCAGCUGUAGCUCCUCUGCCAACGCCAUCAGGAAAUAGGGAGCAUUCAGCUGUCUAUGUAGUUGAAAGGGAAUUGAAUCUACUAAACUUUCAAUUGUCCAACACAGCAAAUCUCUCUCUUGGUAGCAAUGGUUCCUUAUCUGAAACAGGAAAGUACAAGGGAGACUCAGCUGAAACAUUGCAUGUCAAGCAGAUUAAGAAGCACAUUAGUACACCUGUUCCACAUGAUUCAUAUUCUGUUCUUUCUGUAAGCAGUUCAGGAAAAUAUCUCGCAAUUGUGUGGCCUGAUAUUCCUUACUUCUCUAUAUACAAGGUUAGUGAUUGGACCAUCGUAGAUUCAGGCAGUGCAAGGCAUCUGGCUUGGGAUACAUGUCGUGAUAGAUUUGCUAUACUGGAAUCUGCAUUAGCUCCUAGAAUUCCUAUAAUUCCCAAGGGGGUUUCCUCAAGGAAAGCGAAGGAAGCAGCUGCAGCCGCAGCACAAGCAGCAGCAGCUGCAGCUAGUGCUGCUUCUGCUGCCAGUGUGCAAGUUCGUAUCUUGCUUGAUGAUGGUACAUCAAAUAUCCUGAUGAGAUCCGUUGGAAGUCGUUCUGAACCGGUCAUUGGCUUGCAUGGGGGGGCACUACUAGGUGUGGUCUAUAGAACUUCCCGGAGGAUUAGCCCUGUUGCAGCAACAGCUAUAUCCACAAUUCAAUCUAUGCCAUUGUCAGGAUUUGGAAGUAGUGCUGGUUCUUCAUUUAGCUCUUUUGAUGAUGGAUUUUCUUCUCAGAGAUCUCCUGCUGAGGCAGCCCCUCAAAACUUUCAGUUGUAUAGUUGGGAAACUUUUGAACCUGUGGGUGGUCUGCUUCCUCAGCCAGAAUGGACUGCAUGGGAUCAAACAGUUGAGUAUUGUGCUUUUGCCUAUCAGCAGUAUAUUGUCAUAUCUUCUUUGCGGCCUCAAUAUCGAUAUCUAGGAGAUGUUGCAAUUCCCUACGCUACAGGAGCUGUUUGGCACCGGAGACAGCUUUUUGUGGCUACACCAACUACUAUUGAAUGUGUUUUUGUGGAUGCUGGAGUUGCAGCGAUUGAUAUAGAAACAAGAAGAAUGAAAGAAGAGAUGAGAAUGAAAGAGGCACAGGCCAGAGCAGUCGUUGAACAUGGAGAGUUAGCCCUAAUCACAGUAGAAGGUCCACAAACUGCUACACAAGAGAGAAUAAAACUAAGGCCACCUAUGCUACAGGUGGUUCGUUUAGCUUCUUUUCAGCAUGUUCCUUCUGUGCCACCUUUCUUGACAUUGCCAAAGCAGACAAAAGUUGAUGAUGGUGAUUUGGCAAUGCCAAAGGAGAUGGAAGAGAAAAGGGUUAGUGAGAUAGCAGUUGGUGGUGGAGGGGUGUCUGUGGCAGUUACUCGUUUUCCUAGUGAGCAGAAACGACCUGUUGGACCUCUAGUAGUGGUGGGUGUAAGACAUGGGGUUCUUUGGCUUAUUGAUAGAUAUAUGUGCGCGCAUGCCUUAUCCCUAAGUCAUCCUGGUAUUCGUUGUCGGUGUCUUGCUGCUUAUGGAGAUGCUGUUAGUGCUGUUAAAUGGGCAAGUAGGCUUGGUAGAGAACAUCAUGAUGAUUUGGCACAAUUCAUGCUGGGGAUGGGCUAUGCUACUGAAGCUCUUCAUUUGCCUGGAAUAUCUAAGAGGUUGGAGUUUGACUUAGCCAUGCAGAGCAAUGAUUUAAAAAGAGCACUUCAGUGCCUUCUUACGAUGAGCAACAGCAGGGAUGUAGGGCAAGAUGGUACUGGUCUUGGUUUGAAUGACAUUCUUAACUUAACAGCAAAAAAGGAAAAUAUUGUUGAUGCUGUUCAAGGAAUUGUGAAAUUUGCAAAGGAGUUUUUGGACCUCAUUGAUGCUGCGGACGCCACUGCACAGGCUGACAUUGCUUGUGAAGCUCUCAAGAGGUUAGCUGCUGCAGGUUCUGUAAAAGGAGCUUUGCAGGGUCAUGAGUUAAGAGGACUUGCUCUACGCCUUGCAAAUCAUGGGGAGUUGACAAGGCUGAGUGGUUUGGUAAACAAUUUGAUUUCAGUUGGCUUGGGACGUGAAGCAGCAUUUUCAGCUGCUGUUUUGGGAGACAAUGUUCUCAUGGAAAAGGCUUGGCAGGACACAGGGAUGCUUGCGGAGUCCGUACUGCAUGCCCAUGCUCAAGGGCGACCAACACUUAAAAACUUGGUUCAAGCUUGGAACAAAAUGCUACAGAAAGGGGUUGAACACAGCCCAUCAACAAAGACAGAUGCUGCAGCUGCAUUUCUGGCUUCCCUUGAGGAGCCCAAGCUUACAAGUUUGGCAGAUGCAGGGAAAAAACCAACUCUUGAAAUUCUUCCUCCGGGGAUGCCAUCUCUUUCUGCUUUAAUUACUAAUCAGAAAAAACCUGGUCCUGGCACACAAAGUUCACAGCAGCAACCUAGUAAGCCAUUACAAUUAGAAGCACCUCCCAAUGCUAAUUCUGAACCAGCAACUGCAUCAACUCCUGCCACAACUACUACUGCAGGACCAGAAAAUGCACCUCCUAGUUCUACACCAGAUGUAGAAAAUGAUCCACUGCAAUCAGAAGCAGGUGAACCUCAUGGUUCUGUUGCUGAUAAAGCUCCUAUCUCAUCCUCAGGGAGUAAUCCAGAUCUAGUUACUUCAGGGGAAAGCAACACACCAACGUCUACAGGUAAUACAGAAUCAAAAGAGGUACCACCCCAAAUACCAAAUAACCUGGGAUCAAAUAUUCCAAGUACCGUGCCCAUGAGUGAUGCUCUUGCUUGAAUAUAAAGUUUGAAACCCAUUAGAGAGAAUUGCGUAUUGGAAAUUCUUUGAUGAUUCUUUCACUCCUAAAGUAAGUCUGAAUAUGGACCAUUACAGUGUCUACAACACUACAUAUAUAGAAUUGCGAGCAAGAGAUUUAGUUUCAUUGCCAGUUGAAUUUGUGCGUGUAUACUUUAUCAGGUGAUUAGAUCUCGUAUGUUCAUAUGAUUUAUCAGAGAACUUUUUCAGGGCCUUGAUUGUUGCACUGUGUUUUCUUUAUCUGUAACUAUUUCAGGCUUGCGGUGUUGUACUAUAAAAUUUUCCAACUUUUUUUCGUUUGAGAUACCAAUUUACAAUUUGUGAGCAGGUUGAGUUGUAA